This 219-nucleotide long non-coding RNA is filed under the name Vigna radiata. Its description in RNAcentral is "long non-coding RNA (VRAD_LNC010281)". The record is from RNAcentral. Lineage: Eukaryota; Viridiplantae; Streptophyta; Magnoliopsida; Fabales; Fabaceae.
UUCUUGUCUAUAGGCUUUGAAUUUAGCCCUAGGCAACUGAGACGGACUAACAUUGUAUGAUGUUGGAGAGUGUCAGUGGUACGAUACAAGUGCACAAACUACCAAUAGUUCGACAUUCAUACCUAAUCUGGAUAAGUCUUGUUGAGUGUGAGAUGUAUGGAAUGAUCGAUGUGCAUUAUAUCCUCUUGAAUUGAGGGUUGAAUUUUUUUUAGAUAAUAU